Long non-coding RNA from Pezoporus flaviventris, 1191 nucleotides. RefSeq lists it as uncharacterized. Lineage: Eukaryota; Metazoa; Chordata; Aves; Psittaciformes; Psittacidae. The record is from RefSeq and is a predicted model, not a curated record. The transcript has 2 exons.
GCACCAAGGGAGAAAAGGGACAUGCCAGAAAUGUAAUGAAAUUGAUUUAGGUCCCUUGCACAGCGACAGACCCAGUGUUCAGCACUGCAGGAGAGCCUGGGCUGGGAAAGUGAGGGUGCAGAAGCAGCGGGAGAGAACUUUUGAGUUCCUUGAGAUGUGUUUCUUUGGCUUAAUUGCUACCGGCUGAGAAUCAGCUCUGCGGUGGAAAAGAACAUGAGGCAGAGCAGAAUGGGGACCAGUAUUCCAGGAGACAUUUCCUGAUGGAAUAGAUCCAGUUUCUGGCGCUGUUUACUAAUGCAGAACAGGGUGGCCAGAGAGGUCGAAGUCUACCUGCAUUGAUUUAACAAUUGCAUAGCUUCUAUCUGAAAGAGAAAGAAAAACUAAAGAUGCAAGAAAUAGCUGAGGUCUUGUCCCCAGCUAAGGCUGCGGCUGGGACAUGCUGAGUUCUGACGUGCAGUGGCCCUCCUGAGGGAAUCCCUGUAGACACACCGCUAUAGAACACAUAGAUGUCCCAACCAGAAUACAGAUCAAGUUCCCAAUUUGAAUUGUAAAAAGAUGUUCGUAUAAGCAAAGCACGUUCAGUACUUUUCUGUUUUCAUCUCAUUUUACCAUGUUCUCUUAUCUCUGUAACUGUCUCAGCAGGUUGCCACAAGUAAUGCGAGCACAGCUUAAGGCAUUCUUUCAAACAUCUUUUUGGCAGAUUUCACUCACUCGUACCAGCCUUUGGAACACCUCUACUUGCGAGACAUUACUUUUUAGACUUUGGAAGAAAAGCUUUCAUGUCUAUAAAGUUUUGAUUCACAAACACCUCCCUGCUUCAAAGACUUAGCAAGUCACAGAUUCAUUUUCCCUCCCUCUUCUUGCUGCAGGAGACUAAAUAAUAAAUUCAGCAUAAGAACACUGGCUCCUAAGGGUGAUUCUUUCAAGUAUUCAAAUACUGCAUAUCCAGCUAGGAAGCAGAGCCAGCUGACGCCAUCAGUUGUUAUGCUGCUGCACAGAAGCUGUUCUGUGAUCAGCCUAGCUCCUACCUUUGAAACAGGCAGGGAGAGUAAGGUUGCCAUCCACACAUGGGACUGGUACGGUAUAGGCACAGGAUUUUUCUUUAUUCUUGCAGAAGAAGGAUACAGUUUCACCAUGCUGAACACCAUCCUUAAGGUCAUUCUGAACUCUUUUCUUCUCACCAUUGUAUAA